UCAGAACGUCGCAAGACAGUUCGGUCCCUAUCUGUGAUGGGCGUUAGUAAAUUGAGAGGACAUGACCUUAGUACGAGAGGACCGGGUCGUAUGUACCGCUGGUGUAUCUGUUGUGCCGCCAGGUGCAAUGCAGAGUAGCUAUGUACAGGCAGGAUAAACGCUGAAAGCAUCUAAGCGUGAAACCUUCCUCAAGAUGAGUUUACUUUUAAGGGUCGUCGAAGACUACGACGUUGAUAGGCUAUAGGUAUAAAGGUGGUAACAUCAAAGCCGAGUAGUACUAAUUACCCGUUAGCUUUAUUUUU
RNAcentral lists this ribosomal RNA (302 nucleotides) under Ferruginibacter sp. Its description in RNAcentral is "partial 23S ribosomal RNA". It matches the Rfam family "Bacterial large subunit ribosomal RNA", at positions 2611 to 2925 of the family's 2925-position model. Lineage: Bacteria; Pseudomonadati; Bacteroidota; Chitinophagia; Chitinophagales; Chitinophagaceae. The record is from RNAcentral.